Molecule: long non-coding RNA, 535 nt
Organism: Camarhynchus parvulus
Lineage: Eukaryota; Metazoa; Chordata; Aves; Passeriformes; Thraupidae
Exons: 3
Source: RefSeq, a predicted model, not a curated record
UGCUGGACCUCAAAAUGGCACAGAGUGGCAGGGACAGGCUUCACCCCUCACUGAAGAUAAGGGAUCAGGAAAUGGCAGCUCUUCAGUAAAGGAUUUCAGUAAAUAAAAGACGCACCAAGAUUGAAGACAAAAAAUGUGAAUUCAAAAAGAAUUUUCAUCUCAUCCUUCACACUGAAGUGGCUAACCCUCACUUACAAGCCACAACUGCAGGCUCAGAACACCUUCAUUAAUUUCACUGUCACCAGGGACAGGCUGGAAGACCAGCUGUUGCCUGAGGUUUUUAAUGCAAGACUCACAAAAAAUAUAAGGUAGCUGAAGCCAAAGAAAAUAAUGACAAGAUGUCAUGUCAGGAUGACACAACAAGAGAGCAUUACAGACUGACAGCUGGAAGAGCAUCCGCUCCUUACUCCGGGAGUGUCAGCCUGGGCAGUGUCAACCCCAUCUACCAGCUUCCACUGAAGGUAAAAGUGUCUCUCAACUCUUUUUUUCAAAGUGCAAGAAACAGAAUUCUGCCUCCAGCAGUGAUGCCUGAUAC